RNAcentral lists this ribosomal RNA (439 nucleotides) under uncultured bacterium. RNAcentral's name for it is "partial 16S ribosomal RNA". It matches the Rfam family "Bacterial small subunit ribosomal RNA", at positions 339 to 795 of the family's 1533-position model. The record is from RNAcentral.
CUACGGGCCGCAGCAGUGGGGAAUAUUGCACAAUGGAGGAAACUCUGAUGCAGCAACGCCGCGUGGAGGAUGACACUUUUCGGAGCGUAAACUCCUUUUAUAUAGGAAGAAGAUGACGGUACUAUAUGAAUAAGCGCCGGCUAACUCCGUGCCGGCAGCCGCGGUAAUACGGAGGGCGCAAGCGUUACUCGGAAUCACUGGGCGUAAAGAGCGUGUAGGCGGAUUAAAAAGUCAGAAGUGAAAUCCUAUAGCUUAACUAUAGAACUGCUUCUGAAACUCUUAAUCUAGAAUAUGGGAGAGGUAGAUGGAAUUUCUGGUGUAGGGGUAAAAUCCGUAGAGAUCAGAAGGAAUACCGAUUGCGAAGGCGAUCUACUAGAACAUUAUUGACGCUGAGGUGCGAAAGCGUGGGGAGCAAACAGGAUUAGAUACCCCCGUAGUC